Molecule: long non-coding RNA, 642 nt
Filed under: Macaca mulatta (Rhesus monkey)
Lineage: Eukaryota; Metazoa; Chordata; Mammalia; Primates; Cercopithecidae
Description: lncRNA (ENSMMUG00000053341.1)
Source: RNAcentral
AUGCUGGGACCCAUAUCUCUGCGGUUCGCUUGGACUUUUCCUUCUUCAUCUCCUCAUGGUCACAGGAUGGCUGCCACAGCGCCAGGAUCAAGUUACGUUAAAGAGAGUCAGAGGAGGGGGCACACCUGCAGACUUCUACUUCAGUCUUAUUGCUGGAAUGGUGCCACCAGGCCACCUUUAGCUGCCUUGGCAGGGAAGGAUGGAGCAGUGGACCCUGGGAAAGGCUUCAAGGUGGAGGCAAGGCUGAGUCAUCGUCUGAGUCUAAGGAAGAAAGAAGUCAUCGGUCCAAGAAAGGAAGACCAUGGGGCCAGAGGACCUGUGGAGCACAGGCUGUGGGAUGCACUGUUGGAGCAAUGGGCACCCUGUGUGGGUGCACACAGGGGCAGUGAAUGGCCGAAGAUGUGGUAAGAUGUAGGGGGCAAGCCAUCAUGCUACCUGGAGAUCCAAAAUGCCAGUGACAAUGCGUGUUGAGGAUGGGUCCAGGUGAACGACCCUAUAAGGCAAACGAUCCCAGGAGGAUUAUCCGCAGGAGCUCUGAUCCGCCGGGCACGUGGUCAGUGCCAGACAGCAGGCUGGACACGUGUGGGUCGCUUCUUUCUCAUAACACUGAGAGUAGGUGUGUUUACCUCUGUUCUACAGAGG